UGCGUAGGCGGCUUUGCAAGUCAGAUGUGAAAUCUAUGGGCUCAACCCAUAAACUGCAUUUGAAACUGUAGAGCUUGAGUGAAGUAGAGGCAGGCGGAAUUCCCCGUGUAGCGGUGAAAUGCGUAGAGAUGGGGAGGAACACCAGUGGCGAAGGCGGCCUGCUGGGCUUUAACUGACGCUGAGGCGCGAAAGCGUGGGAGCAAACA
This 206-nucleotide ribosomal RNA is filed under the name uncultured bacterium. Its description in RNAcentral is "partial 16S ribosomal RNA". It matches the Rfam family "Bacterial small subunit ribosomal RNA", at positions 568 to 774 of the family's 1533-position model. The record is from RNAcentral.